CCUACGGGGGGCAGCAGUGGGGAAUAUUGGACAAUGGGGGGAACCCUGAUCCAGCCAUGCCGCGUGUGUGAAGAAGGCCCUCGGGUUGUAAAGCACUUUCAGUGAGGAAGAACGCCUGGUGGUUAAUACCCAUCAGGAAAGACAUCACUCACAGAAGAAGCACCGGCUAACUCCGUGCCAGCAGCCGCGGUAAUACGGAGGGUGCGAGCGUUAAUCGGAAUUACUGGGCGUAAAGCGCGCGUAGGUGGCUUGAUAAGCCGGUUGUGAAAGCCCCGGGCUCAACCUGGGAACGGCAUCCGGAACUGUCAAGCUAGAGUGCAGGAGAGGAAGGUAGAAUUCCAGGUGUAGCGGUGAAAUGCGUAGAGAUCGGGAGGAAUACCAGUGGCGAAGGCGGCCUUCUGGACUGACACUGACACUGAGGUGCGAAAGCGUGGGUAGCAAACAGGAUUAGAUACCCUAGUAGUC
Molecule: ribosomal RNA, 465 nt
Filed under: Vreelandella stevensii
Lineage: Bacteria; Pseudomonadati; Pseudomonadota; Gammaproteobacteria; Oceanospirillales; Halomonadaceae
Description: partial 16S ribosomal RNA
Rfam family: Bacterial small subunit ribosomal RNA
Source: RNAcentral